This 253-nucleotide ribosomal RNA is filed under the name uncultured bacterium. RNAcentral describes it as "partial 16S ribosomal RNA". It matches the Rfam family "Bacterial small subunit ribosomal RNA", at positions 524 to 776 of the family's 1533-position model. The record is from RNAcentral.
UACGGGGGGAGCGAGCGUUGUUCGGAUUUACUGGGCGUAAAGGGCGCGUAGGCGGGUCAUCAAGUCAGAUGUGAAACCCGGCAGCUUAACUGUCGGCCUGCAUCUGAAACUGGCGACCUUGAGUACGGGAGAGGAAAGCGGAAUUCCUGGUGUAGCGGUGAAAUGCGUAGAUAUCAGGAGGAACACCGGUGGCGAAGGCGGCUUUCUGGCCCGAUACUGACGCUGAGGCGCGAAGGCCGGGGGAGCAAACAGG